This is a long non-coding RNA of Nicotiana attenuata, 2390 nucleotides long. RefSeq lists it as uncharacterized. The transcript is spliced from 3 exons. Lineage: Eukaryota; Viridiplantae; Streptophyta; Magnoliopsida; Solanales; Solanaceae. The record is from RefSeq and is a predicted model, not a curated record.
GUGAGUUCUUCUCACUCUUCUCUCUCUAUCUUUGUUUCAUUUCUUCUUCUGAACCUUCUUUUCUCUUCUCUUUGUUACUGUUUCAUUGAUUUAUCAGCUGAUUCUCCACAAAUGAGUAUCAGAUCCGCACAUGCAUGGUUGAAAAUAGAUGACUGGUGCAUGUAGCUGUAUUAUUUUGGAUUACUGAUUGUUGACUGUCUUUUUUACUUUGCCGCUAAUAAAUUAUUGAAAAUCAAGUAUAUGAAAAUCUUUAAUUUUAAAUUUGCUGUUGGAAGAUUGGGUCUUAGCACUUAAAUUUUUUUUUAUUGAUAGUAUCAAUUAUAUUUGUAGACAUACUUUCAUGGUGUUCUUUCUAUGUAAGUAUUGUAUAUUUUUUAGACAGUUACCGUUUUAAUUGUUUUUUCUCUUCUACUUUAUUCUUUUUUUUUUUGUUCAUUCUACUCAAUAUAAUGGAGAAGACUGAUGAACCCAAGAUGUUCGGUGAUAUGCCUGAAACAACUUAACUAUUUGGUAAGAAUUUUUUUUGUUUCUCUUUUGCUGUAGGUGAGUAAAUUCGGGCUGCCUUUAAUGAUGUACAAUUGUGCAUUCCUGUGAAUUGGAAAAUUUUUUUCAUAAUAUUCAUGCAAAUACAGAAAUACUUCUUGAUGGCUCAGAGCAAUAUUAGAAUUUUAUCUUAUGUGUAUGAGAAUUUUAAUUACUUUUUUCUUCAAGUAGAUGUGUUGUUAUUGGUAUGUUAAAAUGGUCAUGGUAUUAGCUAUUACUGAUGAUCUUUUCUUUCUACCUAUUUUUUCGUGGGCCUUUUAUUAUUAUUAUAACUGGAAUAGAAUUUUUCUUAUAAGGUAGGGAUAAGGUCUACAUACACACUACCCUUCCCAAAUUCCAUGGUGUGGGAUAAUACUGGGUAUGUUGUUGUUGUUGUAAUUACUGGAAUAGAAUUCUGCAGGAGAAAGAAGUUCUGAUUUUUUUCGCUUCAUCUGAUUAGUUAGGUUAUGGGUCUUUGUUUGCUAAUAAUUGACUUUGUUUUUUUUUUUGGAACCCAGGAAAACCCGCAGCCGCUACAGCCUCUGCCCUUCGGGUGAGCACUCUGUGCGCACUGGGUAAACCCCCACUGUGUAAUAGCCUGCAAACCACACAGGGGAUAUAAACCGCACUAGGCAAACCCCGUGCGACAGGCUCAGACCCAGAGGGCAUUGAGGGGGAUCGAACCCGCAUCGCCCGUGUGGACAACUCCCUCCAAACCCAACUGGGCCGUCCCUUCGGGACAAUAAUGGACUUUGUUGUUUACAUACUUUUUUACCAUUUUUUAUAAGUAUCACUUUUAUAUUUCUAUCUUACAUGUUCGUAAAUCAACCAAUGGUUCUCUAACUUGGAAAGAAUGUAAACUACACCACAAGCUGUAGACAUCAUUUCCCAUGUAAGUUAAUACCCACAUUCUUACCUUAUUUGUUUUCAAAAGCCAUAUUCUAUCUUCCUUGUUCAAUAAAUCCUGUAACAAAACAAAAAAAAAAAGAUGAAAUGCUAUAUGUAAUUGUUUUUUCUCUGAAAUUCAUAUGAUGUGCUUUACAGUAGAACAAAGCCAGUAAAACUUUAUUGUAUAAGGAAGAGUUGCAAAAUAGGAUGUGAAUAUGUACAACAUAGAGUCCAGACGUGCUGCCUCUUGUGACUUUGUAUUCUCAAGUGGCCAUUACUCUGCACCCAUACAUGGUUACGCCUAAAGUAAUCAAGACAGAAGCUGGAUAUUUCAUCUUUAUGCAAAAACUCGAAGGCAAGGUUCUUUUUGCAUCUGCUUGAUGCCCUUAAUAAAUUUUAUUACUUCAUAAAAAAUAAAAGAAGAACUAGAAACAGGGAAGUACAUUUUGGAUGAACUCAACAGCACCAACAGAAAACAUCAAUUUCGGGGUAUGAAAUGUGAUGCACAAUCAUAUGGAGGUAAUACCUUUGACAAUGCAAGAGAGUUGGCUAUGUCUGCGCUCAAACUAAAAGAGUCGUAACAGCUUUUCACAGAGAAAGUUCUAUCCUUGCUGACAAUCCAAAUCAAAGAAUCCACCUUGUUUAUGAUCAAUAGCAACUUGUCCUACUAACUGUUGCAAUUGGCAAUAAUCCUCAAUUUCCCAGUCAUCCAAAUUGGUAACAAAUGUUACAUAGAUUGAUAGAACAGUCAAAUCACAGACAUAACAACUUGCAUUGGAAGAUUAUUUGGAAAAUCAGAGCUCCAGUCAAUGUAGCUUGCUUUGGGUGGAUAGCAGCCUGGGGAGCCUGUUUAUCUCAGGACAAUUUGCAGAGAAGAGGUUUUAUGUAUUUGGGGAGCCUGCUUUGUAUAAUCUAUGUAUACCGACUAUAAAAAGAAAUAAUGAAUGCAGAUAACUAUUUGUGUAAAGAUCCCAAAUUAC